Molecule: long non-coding RNA, 948 nt
Organism: Gallus gallus (chicken)
Lineage: Eukaryota; Metazoa; Chordata; Aves; Galliformes; Phasianidae
Exons: 4
Source: RefSeq, a predicted model, not a curated record
CCGCCAUCUUGCGCACGCCCCGCCACCGACGCAGACGCCGCGUCGCUCCUGAGGCACGUCGGGAAAUGGAGUGCGCGGUCUUUCCGAGCGGCGCUGCCCGUGCCGAGAAUCUCCCUCGGUCAGAAAGCCGCUCCCAGUGCGUUCGCGUGAACGCUGCGGAGGCGGGAGCCCGAGCUGAGGUGGAAGUCCGAGCUGGCGUUCCUGUCAGAGCGGGGACGUUUGGCGGGAACGUCGCGGAGCGGGGCUGUGGGCCGGCAGGUGUCUGCUCGGCUGCGGGACGGAGCAAGCAGAACUCCGGGCUGAGCACGCGUUGUGCGUUCUCGCCGCCGAGCCGCUGCUUUCCCCCCGUCAACCAGGAGGCGGCAGGCAGCACCUGGCAGAAGGAGUAGCGCUGUGGUAAUUUACCCAAAACGAAGACUGUCCUGUGGCUCUCUCUGAUAAUCCGGCGCUUGUGGGGUGACUGAAAGUAUAAGCGUGAUGGCAGAUUUUCCGUGCGACCCGUAAACUGGAAUAAGUCCAAAGGAUACCACGAGUGCUGCUGCCUGAGGAGCGGCACUGCGCAGUGCAUCCUUCUCCUCAGGUUAUUGAGCUGAAUGAAGUCACAGAGGGGUCUAAUGAAUGCCAGAGCCUCUGAGAAGAAAAGAAUGGAAGCAGAAUCUUCUCAUUUCAUUAGCAGCAAGUCUCCAGAUGGUGUCACGGUGUUUCAGACCAAAAGGAGGUGCUUUCAAAUACACAGCCUUUAAUCUGGAGGAAAUAUAUGCCCAGUUUGUAGCCCUCAUCGCUUCUACAGUGGCUAAUGUUGCUGCUUACAGACAUCCUCAGUCCCGCUGAGAAACAUCUCAGAAAACACAGCAUUUUGGAAGGACCCUGAGAAAGGCUAUGACAACGUUCUGCAAGAUAUGAAAUCUGGUAGACUGCCUGCUUCCAGUGACUCAGGGACCCUCUCAG